UUUUCACUAGAUUUAGUAAACAUUUUUCAAAGCUGUUAAAUAUUCUUCAAAAACAUGAUCAAUGGCUGUGCAAUAGUUCAUGUGGGAUCAUCCAUUACACUAUUACUAGACAAAUUGUUUCCACUUUUCACCAUUAUAAGUGAAGACGCUGUGUGAAUCGUGUUUGGAAUCUGAUUUUUCUCAGGUGAUCUACCUAUAAGUGCAAUCAUUGGAUCAAGGGUAGAAAUAUCUUUUAGUGAUCUUGCUAAAUACUGCCUAACUGGCCUACAGAAAAUUUGCUAAUCAUAGUCCCUCUAAUUGUAUAUAAAAGUGCCCACUUUGUUAUACUCUUUUAAAAAAUUCUUUUCACUCCGUUUU
RNAcentral lists this long non-coding RNA (357 nucleotides) under Homo sapiens (human). Its description in RNAcentral is "HSALNT0129427". Lineage: Eukaryota; Metazoa; Chordata; Mammalia; Primates; Hominidae. The record is from RNAcentral.